GACGAACGCUGGCGGCGUGCUUAACACAUGCAAGUCGAGCGAUGAAACUACUUCGGUAGUGAAUUAGCGGCGAACGGGUGAGGAACACGUGAGGAAUCUGCCUUCUACACUGGGAUAACUCCGGGAAACCGGGGCUAAUACCGGAUAUGAAACUUGGUUGCAUCACCGAGUUUGGAAAGUUUUUCGGUAGAAGAUGACCUCGCGGCCUAUCAGCUUGUUGGUGAGGUAAUGGCUCACCAAGGCGACGACGGGUAGCCGGCCUGAGAGGGCGACCGGCCACACUGGGACUGAGACACGGCCCAGACUCCUACGGGAGGCAGCAGUGGGGAAUUUUCCGCAAUGGGCGAAAGUCCUGACGGAGCAAUACCGCGUGAGGGAAGAAUGCCUAUGGGUUGUAAACCUCUUUUUCUAGGGAGGAAUAAAAUGACGUGUACCUGAAGAAUAAGCAUCGGCUAACUCCGUG
RNAcentral lists this ribosomal RNA (463 nucleotides) under uncultured bacterium. RNAcentral's name for it is "bacterial SSU rRNA". It matches the Rfam family "Bacterial small subunit ribosomal RNA", at positions 28 to 507 of the family's 1533-position model. The record is from RNAcentral.